CCUACGGGUGGCAGCAGUGGGGGAUAUUGCACAAUGGGGGGAACCCUGAUGCAGCGACGCCGCGUGGGUGAAGGAGUGCUUCGGCAUGUAAAGCCCUAUCGGCAGGGAAGAAGCAAGACGGUACCUGACUAAGAAGCCCCGGCUAACUACGUGCCAGCAGCCGCGGUAAUACGUAGGGGGCGAGCGUUAUCCGGAUUCACUGGGUGUAAAGGGAGCGUAGACGGCCAUGCAAGCCAGGGGGGAAAGCCCGGGGCCCAACCCCGGGACUGCCCUUGGAACUGCAUGGCUGGAGUGCGGGAGGGGCAGGCGGAAUUCCUGGGGUAGCGGUGAAAUGCGUAGAUAUCAGGAGGAACACCGGCGGCGAAGGCGGCCUGCUGGACCGCGACUGACACUGAGGCUCGAAAGCGUGGGGAGCAAACAGGAUUAGAUACCCUUGUAGUC
RNAcentral lists this ribosomal RNA (441 nucleotides) under uncultured bacterium. Its description in RNAcentral is "partial 16S ribosomal RNA". It matches the Rfam family "Bacterial small subunit ribosomal RNA", at positions 338 to 795 of the family's 1533-position model. The record is from RNAcentral.